This 348-nucleotide ribosomal RNA is filed under the name uncultured Sphingobacteriales bacterium. RNAcentral describes it as "bacterial SSU rRNA". It matches the Rfam family "Bacterial small subunit ribosomal RNA", at positions 1033 to 1382 of the family's 1533-position model. Lineage: Bacteria; Pseudomonadati; Bacteroidota; Sphingobacteriia; Sphingobacteriales. The record is from RNAcentral.
UGCAAGUGCUGCAUGGUUGUCGUCAGCUCGUGCCGUGAGGUGUCGGGUUAAGUCCCAUAACGAGCGCAACCUUAUCGUUAGUUACCAUCAGGUUAAGCUGGGGACUCUAGCGGGACUGCCACCGUAAGGUGAGAGGAAGUGGGGAUGACGUCAAAUCAGCACGGCCCUUAUGUCCAGGGCUACACACGUGUUACAAUGGCCGGUACAAAGGGCAGCUACUUCGCGAGAAGAUGCUAAUCUCGAAAGCCGGUCUCAGUUCGGAUCGAAGUCUGCAACCCGACUUCGUGAAGCUGGAUUCGCUAGUAAUCGCGCAUCAGCCAUGGCGCGGUGAAUACGUUCCCGGGCCUU